RNAcentral lists this long non-coding RNA (977 nucleotides) under Homo sapiens (human). RNAcentral describes it as "HSALNT0349322". Lineage: Eukaryota; Metazoa; Chordata; Mammalia; Primates; Hominidae. The record is from RNAcentral.
CCAAAAUUUGCUCAUUUAUUUUCUUUACAUUAAGAUCUCUGGUUCUUACCAGUGGGUCAUUUCAAACUCUAUCUCUGCUUCCCCCAGCUAGGGAUAGAAAGCCACUAUUACAGACAGGGGCUGCAUCCUUCAGGUGCUUUCUGCAGAAAUGAGCUCAAUAACCACUGAAGACAGAUGUUAAUGAUGUCUGUUUUAAGGCAAAUUAUUUGGAGACGAGGGUAACCAAGUGGAGCUGAAUGACACUGGAUGGUAAUAACUUAAUUUGCCUCAGUGACAGUUCAUCAGGUCCUUUCACUUCCAUUUUCUCAUCUGACCAUCAUGACCUUAUGGUGUAAGUAAAAAUGAUUACUUCCCUUUUUUCUUUUCUUCAGAGGGGAAAUCUGGGUUUGGAGCAGCUAUACCAUAUAUCUAAGGUCAAACACCUAAGAGGAACUUUUAACUUGGGUCAUUUAAGUGCAAGUGCCUUGUUUUCGCCAUUUUGCCAAGGACAUGGGGCUCAAGUUUGGGUGUGCACCUGGCUUGCAGCAGAACUGGCUGGGAUGGCUUCAUAACUUCCCUUCUAACAAUAUAACAAUAUGCUUCUGUAAAUUUUCACACUGAAUUGGACAAGAAUCAGAAUAUCCUGUUUUGAACAUCUGCACAGAUUGACAAACAAAAAUGGAACAUCAAGACUGACUGGAAAUGGUGAUGUGAAAUUCAUUAAAUGCUCUUGCAAUUGCCAGAGGUGCCAAGACUGAGGCUCAGAGAAAUGAAAUAACAUGCCAAAGGUCACAGUGUCUAGUGGAGCUGGGGCCAAAUUCAGAUUAAUAACACACAGGAAAAACCCUCAACUUCUUUCAUUCGCCUGUUGAGAUAAAGGGAAAGAGAGUCCCCAUCCAGGCCUGCAGGAGAGGGAGAACUGGUGGAUGCAAAUGAAAAAGCAGAGGCAUUCCUCAGGGUCUUGCUCUGCCACCCAGCCUGGAGUGCAGUGGUGCAAU